UACGUAGGGUGCAAGCGUUAAUCGGAAUUACUGGGCGUAAAGCGUGCGCAGGCGGUUAUGUAAGACAGUUGUGAAAUCCCCGGGCUCAACCUGGGAAUUGCAUUUGUGACUGCACGGCUAGAGUGUGUCAGAGGGGGGUAGAAUUCCACGUGUAGCAGUGAAAUGCGUAGAGAUGUGGAGGAAUACCGAUGGCGAAGGCAGCCCCCCUGGGAUAACACUGACGCUCAUGCACGAAAGCGUGGGGAGCAAACAGG
Molecule: ribosomal RNA, 254 nt
Filed under: uncultured bacterium
Lineage: Bacteria
Description: partial 16S ribosomal RNA
Rfam family: Bacterial small subunit ribosomal RNA
Source: RNAcentral